AACCCGCGCCGUCGGCCAUCUUUAAUCACCACGUUGUUGUUGUUAUUUUUAAUUGCCCCGCCGACGGGUGGGCGUGGAGGUGGGCGGGGUGUCUUUUUUGUGCCUUGGUAUUAAAUCACGGGGCGCUUCAAUGCUUGUCUCUCGGAAAGGCUUUCAGAGGGCAUCUGUGCGCCACGGCACCAUCUUUCUUUCUUUGGGUGCCAUCCCUAAAGGAGGCGAGGCACAGUCAGGACCUGAAAGCAAAAAUAAUCGAGUGUAAGUCUCUCUAGAAUAGCCUUUUUUAUAAUAUGCAAGGUUGUACAAUUCCACCAUUGUUCCCCUUGCAUGUGUGCUGACUAAUUAUUUAAACCUACCUAAAUCCUGCUUGUGCUAAUUAGCGGACGUUUAAACAAUACGCCAUUAUGUCCUUGCCAUACAACCGACGCCAUUUUGCUUCUAUCCUUAUUAAUAUUUUCACUCAGGUGGAAAACAUUUAACGUUUUUGUCCUCUGUUUUAGCAGCUUUGUGGAGUCACUGCCAGUUGAUAUUUACUGUAAAACGGACACAAAUCAGCACCCCAAUAAACUGCAUAUUUAAAAAUUAAAAUGUUAAACGAUAGAAAAACAAAAGUCUGGUAGGUUAAUGCUAGCCUGCGAGGCUAAUUGGAAUUAACAUAGAUGUUAGGCUAAUUGCGGAGCAUACAAAAAUACUCAAAUUCACUGCUGCCCAGCAUGUUGUGGCACAACGUGGUACUACAAUGACAGCGAUUCCAAAUUGGGUGCUGUAUACUG
Syngnathus acus (greater pipefish) is the source of this 770-nucleotide long non-coding RNA. RefSeq lists it as uncharacterized. The record is from RefSeq and is a predicted model, not a curated record. The transcript is spliced from 2 exons. Lineage: Eukaryota; Metazoa; Chordata; Actinopteri; Syngnathiformes; Syngnathidae.